GAUUAACAAUUUAGUCUUUAAUGGUACACUUUGUGUUAAAUGAUUAUGAAAUAUUCCAUAUCUAACUUUAUUGGGGGUGAUAAAAUGUGCAUCCGAUCGUGUCACCUCAAGUUGAUAUUAAUUUUCUCAGAAAAUGUGUAAAAAAUGAUAAAUAAUAGAUCAACAUACAGGUUGAAAUAGUUCCGAUACCGAACGUGUCAAAGCUACGUGAAAAUGAACGUGUAAAUUACACUGCGGAGGAAUACCAAACUCAGACAACAACAAAGCUGAUAUAGCGAGAGACAAGAAAAAGAUGUCUGCCUGCUUGUCCGUGUUAUCUUCGAAGUAGCAAUGAUAACAUGUGUAGUUGCCUUCUGAUGUCUAGCAGCACCUGCCUUUGAGAGCCAGUGGAAUUUUUCCACAGGAUAUAUUUUAUGUGAAUUAUGUUGUAUAUCUGCUGGUGGACAUCGAUUUCGGAGCGGUGACUAGACAGAAAAUAAGGAAUACAUCAAAAUGCAGAAUAGCAUGCCGGGAAAAAUUACAUCCGACAAGGAGCUGAGUGACCUACUUGACUUCAGUGCGAUGUUUUCCCCACCAACUGGUGGUGCAGGCCCCAAAAAUGGUAAUGUAGCUGGUUCUGAUCAUCAUUCAGCAUCCAACUACAAGCAAGGGAGCAAGGAAAUUACAGGAGCAUGUUUCAAGUGCAAGCUUUACCUAUUCCAUCAAGUCUGGAUUCCCAAUAAAGCCAGUGCUUUAUGUUGGAGAGUAGCUCCAAAGCUUGGAAUUCACUGCCCAAGAUUUUAAGGUCAAUGGGGGCUACGAGAAGAAUAAGAGCCAAAGUGCAAUUUCCCUCAUCCCCAUCAGAAUUAAGCCAGCUCUGAUCUCCCCAGAGAGGCGGCCGAGGUUCGCACGUUUAACAGGCAUUUUACGGCUCCAGUAGUCACUCGCAGUGGGGCAAUCGUCUUCAUCGCAUUUCUUGUUCAGCCAUGUUCCUUCCUUUGCUGAGCCCCCUUUUUUAUCAAAGUAUAUAGGGCUGUGCCAAUCAGGUAGAUCUGUGCUCUAAAACACAACUACAUGUACAUGUAUGGCAAUUACCAAAAUAACUACAUAUAGUACUUAAGAAAAAAAAAUACAUGUAUCAUAGAAUGAGAUGUACAUGUACUUCAAUCUAUUUCUUUACUAACUGGAUGAAUUAAACUUAAAAGUCUGAAAGCAGUUUCAGAGUACAAACAUGUUUUAUAUAGGGGCCUACAUUGAAAUGUUGCAUGAUUAUGACAGGUAUGAGAACUAUUGCAGUGUGUCACAAAUGAUAUAAAACUUACGUGUAGGAAUCUUCUCUCUAUUUGUCUUUUCACACUUUUUUGUUUUCAUAUUUAACUUUUUCAUUCAGUUUAUUUACAUGUAUUUGAAAUUUGUCUAUCAUUAUUUUUGUCAUAUUUUUUUAUUACAUAACAUGAACAUACAUGUACAGGUACAGUAAACUCAAAAGACAGCCAAGAUUUUUGUUAGAAAGCGAUUGGGCCUUUGAGGUUCAGAAAAUGAUUCUGUCAACUUUAUUCCCCAAUUCAUUUCCAUGCAGCUAAUAACAUCAAAGGUCAGGGGUAGCCUAACACUGUCAGUGAGAAAAAGAGGCAAAGUUCAUUAAAAAUCACUAAUGUUUGUGUGAAAUGCUUGAUUUAUGUGUAUUUUUAUUUGUAAUUGAUCAUUGCUAAACUUAAUAUGAUCAUGUGAUUAAGAAAGGGAGAUGGAGAUUUUUUUAUUUUUUUUGAAAUAAAUCUUGCACUAAAAUGAGACAUAUUUGAAUGCAGAAUCUAUCAUAGUAUCUUCAACAAGUAAUGAAAAAAUGACCAGGAUACACAAGAUGAAUUGUAGUGGAGUGUUGCCCGACUUGCCUUCCAUUGUAUUUGUAAAUCUAGGAUAAUAAUACCAUACUUGCAGUAGUAAUUACAAUGUGCAGUGUGUCUUCACUAUAUUCAGCCUUGUUGUAUUUGGCAUUGAAUCUUGUGAUAACUCAAUCAUAAAUGAAUACGUCAGGAAGAUGAAUAUGGCCUACAUGUACAUGUAGUCAUUACAAUCUCCAACUCAUUUUAUACUCGGCAAGAACAAAGUAGAGCAGAAGUGGGAUAUAGCAAGAAGGAUGGGGGGGGGGUGGCAUUUACAUUAAAGUACCCUUUCUCCAGAGUACCCUUCAUUUGAUAGAAAGAGGAAAUUCUAUUAGUGCAUCUGUAAUUAACUGUUACCCGGUGAUUGUAAAAUCAAUGCUGAAGAGUAGGGGUUCAUAUUAGAGUAGGGAUGGUGUGCUAAUUGCAUGCCCCGUAAUUUAGAGAGCAACCUUGUGAUUGUCUGAGAAGGGAAUGUAAGUGCUAAUUAAUUUACUUGAUAAAAGACAACUACUACCACUUUGGGCCGAGAUCACUCCUGAUUGAAUAUUGCUAUUCUUUAAUAGGGAAACACAAUCACAGGUUUCGCAUUUUACAUGUACAUGUACAUUGUUGGUGCAUCUGAUGAUGAGAAAUGGAAACACUAGGCAUUCAGGUUAACACUGCAUUCACGUAUGAAACUUGUGCAUAUUGUUUAUUCUCAUUGUAGUUAAUACAUGUAGAAUGUACCCUGCAAUGUUUUCUUGUUCUCUCAAAUGAAAGAAAAUCAGAUUUCUAAAAUUUAGUGCUGAUAUCCAUUUAGUGUUAUUCUUAAUAAUUAUCUUUAUUACUUCAAACUUAUCUCCAUGGUACAUGUAACAGUGACCUUCUAGUGAUUGUAUAGAUUUGUAAACAUUUAUCUUUAUUUAUUUUUGUUUAGAAUAAACCUUCUCAAGAUCUCACAAAAGAUGAAGCCUAAUGUACAUGUAAUAGUUAAUUUUCAAAUGUGAACGGUGUAUUACAAGGUCUGUUCGUUUCAGGAUAUGAUGGUCAUUAUUAGUCAUUAAAUGGAUCUUGUUGAAACCAUAAUUCAAUUAAAAUGUGGGCUGUAACAUGUCUCCCACAUCAACACUACUUGAAAAAAAAUAUAUAUUGAUGGGCAUCAGGUGGAAAACAAUCUUGAAAAUUGUAUUUAACUCUAUCUCUAUUACUAGGCUGAGUCAUAUUUUUUAAAAUGUUUAAUUGAUUUUAAAAUGGUUUCUUGAAAGUGUAUAUAAGUCGUUACAGCCCUCUCUUGAGUCUCUUCACCGUUGGGGUCUGAAUAUUGUAAGAAUGCAUCAUCAGAACACUAAUUUAACCAUUUUAAGGGUUAACCUGAAGCUUUUGAAGAAAAAAAAAACUUAUUUGUUUAAAUUGCAUUUCCUUAUUACUUUUUUAGGAGGGAGGGGGGGGGGGCAUAGAAUUUCACUCCAUCUUAUCAAGUCGAAUGCACUGUAAAAAAUCAGAUAAAUUCCCCUUUUUUGUUCAGAACUGCGAACUUGGAAAUGAUUUUAAGAGCAUUUAACUCUGACUGGCUGUUACAUGUAUUACGUUGUUUAAUUUACAUGUAUGCAUGAUAUUAAUAGUUACAGUUACAUGUAAGGCCAGGGUGUCUUACACAGAAAGAUGGAAAUAUACUGGUCAAUACAAAUGGAUAAAACCUUGAACAUAAUUUUCUCUGAUUUUUUGUGACUGGUUUGUACUUUGUAAGACUGACAAUGAAUCAACUACAUACAUGUACAUCUAGGGGACGACUCUGGCGGUAAAGUUUUGCCUUAACAUUUUAUUUUAGAAUUGAUGGUGAACAUUUGAGAUAUGGAUUUGUGAAACUUGAAAUGAAUUAAUGUAUUUGUACAUGUGCAUUUUGAUAUUAUAAUGAAAUGUGUCAAUGGAUUAAAUUGAUAUACUAUCAAUGCCAUCGGAAUGGUACAUUGAUACAUUAUUGAAAUAGAGAUUUCAAAAUACAUUGUUACAAAAGUUGAAAGGGGUCAAGAUGCUGUCUCAUUCAAUUUCUGCAUCUGAUGGAGAAAACUGGAAUUUUGAUUUGAAGAAAAUUAAAUUUCCAAAUUGGUAAAUGUCACAUGCCAUUAUGCUUCUUUUUCCAAGUAAACCCAGUUUUCUUUUCUUGAUGUGACCCUGAUAAAGUCUUGAAGUUAUGAUUUGAAUCAAUAGUAUAUGAUGAUUACAAUGAACAAAUGAUCUAAAAAACCAUUUGAGAUUUUGAUCAGUAGCAAUUAAUUAUUGCCAAUGACGGGAAACACAUUUAUCAAAAGCGGCAGGAAAAGGCUGAAGAAAGUUAUGCCUUCAGAGCGCACCCUGCCAGACAAGGAGGAUCUUAUCUUCUUCAUAUCUUUUCUUUUUUACUGACGACAUUCAUCUUCAUUACUGCUUCAAAAAACUCAUUUUCCUCCUUCCAAAUUGUCAUGACACAUUUAAUUUCCUAAUUGCGUCAAUAUCAAUUGUGAUGCAUGGAAGUACAGGGCAGAAACAAAAGAAGUACUUUUUGUUACAAAAAUAGGAAUAUGUCCCUAGAUACCUUGCUCAACAUACAAGUAGACUGUGAUAGAAAUCUCUUAACAUAACACGGAAUGGAUUAGUUUUCUACAAUUGUAAAGAAUUUUUUGAUUGCUUCCGCCCAAUUUAUUUCUAUUUGGGUGGGUUCCGCAAACAGUCGUUUUUUUUUUAUCUGAUAAGAUGUUAUCUUUAAACUUCUCAAUUAUAUUGGCUGCUGCACAUACACAGUGAUUUAAGAUAUAACUCCGUCUAUCAUUACCAUACCUGUGAAAUUUAUUUUGUCAAUAUUGUUAUUUGGUUGAUCACCAUCUCAGAAUCAAAGUUUGCAAAGUGAUGACAUAUUUAACACAUACAGUACCUAUCUAUUUUCUUCUCCCAGAAUUAGAGAAAUCCCAAUAAAUUUUGACUUUCCAGGAAAGGUUCAGGAAAAAAAUACAUUCCAGGAUAUAUUUGAAUCAAGUUUAACACAAGUUUCAGUAUUCAUGUUAAAGAUGAAUACCAGUUGUGCUUACGAUCUCAAAAUGAGUUCAAACAGGAUCUAUUAAAGGACAAGUCCACCCCAAUAAAAUAUUGAUUUUAAUUAA
Lytechinus variegatus (green sea urchin) is the source of this 4975-nucleotide long non-coding RNA. RefSeq lists it as uncharacterized. The record is from RefSeq and is a predicted model, not a curated record. The transcript is spliced from 4 exons. Lineage: Eukaryota; Metazoa; Echinodermata; Echinoidea; Temnopleuroida; Toxopneustidae.